This is an RNA transcript of Capsicum annuum, 1198 nucleotides long. RefSeq lists it as uncharacterized. The transcript has 2 exons. NCBI's taxonomy places the organism in Eukaryota, Viridiplantae, Streptophyta, Magnoliopsida, Solanales, Solanaceae. The record is from RefSeq and is a predicted model, not a curated record.
AUCACAUUUGAUCGGGUAAAGGGUUAAUAUGGGUUGGGAUAAUUUAGGUUUGGACAAUUGCAGGUCCUUCGACCAAAUUGACUGUAGUCCACAUUAGAGGACCAUUAUUUUGAUGAUUUUCUUCUCCACUAGCUAGUGUAAAAAGGAAAACUGCCAUCUGAAAUGCAAGGUCCCUCCAAAAAGGCACCAAAUGCAAUUGAACUCGCAAAAUCAGAAGAAACCCUACCGUAUGGGUGAGUUGCCGGAAGCAUUCUUGGUACAAAUUCUCUCUCUUUUGGAGGCCCAAGAUGCCGUCAAAUCAUCUGUCCUCUCAAAAAGGUGGCGUUAUCUCUGGAGUUCUAUUUACAAUUUCCAUUUCAAUGAUAGAAAUUACAACCCUGUUGAAAACUUCGUAUCCUUUGUGGACCACGUUUUAACUCAUUCUACUUGUUCCAAAAUUAAUAAAUUCCAACUCGACAUUCAUAACAGAGAAUGGGAUAUCGAUUCUAAAAUCAGUCAAUGGUUCAGUUUUGCUGUGGAUAAAAAAGUGGAACAUGUUGUUUUAGAUGAUUUUAUCCAUCUAUUGAAGAACCCCCUUACGAAUUGCCUCUAUCUAUGUACACUUGUUCCUCAUUGAUUACAUUGUAUUUGAGUUAUGUGGUGUUUGAUAAAGGAUUGUCUAUAGCUUGGAACUCUCUAAGGAGCUUAACUCUGGCCUAGACUGAGUUAGAAGAUGACGAUAUUGUGAGAUUACUGUCAGGAUACGGUUCUUUGGAAAUUUUUGCCCCACAUCUUCAGCAUUUGCAUAUUUCAGGAGAACUUCUUCGUCUCAAGUGUAGGCUAGUAAAUGUCUCCUCUUUGGUUACUGCCAGCCUCAUUUUUACCAUUAGCUGUAUCCCUGACAGCUGGGACGAAGAUGAUAUCAAGGAAGACAGUUGUCAUGAUUAUCAUCAAGUUUUCAGAAACCUUGUUCUGGAUUAUCUUCAAAAGCUGAGUUCUGUGACCGAGCUAAUAAUUGGAACUUGGCUUGCUGAGGUUUGUUUCUAUGUCAAGAGGCCUUAUUCUCUAUUGGACUUUUAGCAAAACUAGGCUUUUGCACGUUGUUGUUCCUUAAAGUGUAAAGAUGCUUAGAUUUUUCAUAGAACUAUCUUUUGUUGUGGAUUACUUUUUCUUUGUAGUUGCUUCUUUCUCUAUCCUUAUUUCUUUGAGGUUAUUUUCA